This is a long non-coding RNA of Gopherus flavomarginatus (Mexican gopher tortoise), 2744 nucleotides long. RefSeq lists it as uncharacterized. The transcript is spliced from 2 exons. Lineage: Eukaryota; Metazoa; Chordata; Testudines; Testudinidae. The record is from RefSeq and is a predicted model, not a curated record.
UCUGAAUAGAUAAGAGACUGUAGCAGGGAGAUUGGCAGAAACCUGGUUGCACCUCUAGUCCCGUCCAGGACCCAGAGAGAACAAAGCCAAAGCCAAAAACACAAACAAAGGUUUCCCUCCACCGAGGUUUGAAAGUAUCUUGUCUCCUGAUUGGUCCUCUGGUCAGGUGUUGCAGGUCACUGUUUGUUAACCCUUUACAGGUGAAAGACAUUAACCCUUAGCUAUCUGUUUAUGACACCUAUAAAACCAUUUCACAUUCCUAAGUAAGUACAAAGUAUUAUCUCGACCACCUGUUACUGGUGUUUUUUCCAACUUGUUCUUAAAAACCUCCAGUGAUGGAGUUUCCACCUCCAUCCUAGGUAAUUUGUUCCAGUGCUUAACUACCCUGACAGUUGGAAAGUUUUUACUAAUGUCUAACCUAAAUCUCCCUUGCUGCAAUUCAAGCUCAUUAUUUCUUGUGCUUUCCUCAGUGGAUAAAGAGAACAAUUUAGCACCCUCCUCUUUCUAAUAACCUUGCAUGUACUUGCUGACUUAUGUCCCCCCUCAGUUUUCUCUUCUCCAGACUAAACAAAUCUUACUGAGAAACAAAUUUUCUCCAUCUUUCCUCGGUGGUCAUGUUUUCUGGACCUUUAAUCAUUUUUUAUUUGCUUUCCUCUGGACAUUCUCCAAUAUGUCCACAUCUUUCCCAAAGUUUGAUGCCCAGAACAGGAUGCAAUAUUCCAGCUGAGGCUUUAUCAGUGCCGAGUAGAGUGAAAGAAUGACUUCUUGCAUCUUGCUUACAGCAUCCUGCUUAUACAUGCCAGAAUGAUAUUCGCUUUUUUUGCAACAGUAUUAAAUUGUUGAGUCCUGUUUAGUUUAUGAUCCACUCCAACCCUCGGAUCCUUUUCAGCAGUACUCCUCCUUAGGCAGUCUUUUUCCAUUUUGUAUUUGUGAAACUGAUUAUUCCUUCCUAUGUGUAGUACUUUGCAUUUGUCCUUACUGCAUUUCAUGCUAUUUAUUUCAGACUGUUUUUCAAGUUUGCCAGGCUCAUUUUGAAUUCUAAUGCUGUCCUUCAAAGCGCUUACAGCCUCUUCCCAUCUUGGUGUUGUCUGCAAACUUUAUAUUCCCUAUGCUGGGAAGGGCAAACUUUUUGGCCAGAGGGCCACAUCUGGGAAUAGAAAUUGCAUGGUGGGCCAUGAAUGCUCACAAAAUUAGGUUUGGGAUAUGGGAGGAGGUGAGGGCUCUGGUUGGGGGGUGUGGGCUCUGGGGUGGGUCCAUAAAUGAGUUCAGGAUGUGGGAGGGGGCUCCAGGCUAGGACAGGGAGUAGGGGGUGAAGGGAGGAGUGAGGGCUCCGGCUAGGGUUGCGGGCUCUGGUGUGGAGCUGAGAAUGAGGAGUUUGGUGUUUAGGAAGGUGCUUUGGGCUGGGAUCAAGGGGUUCAGAGGGAGGGAGGGGGAUUAGGGCUGGGGCAGGAGGUUGGGAUGCGGGAAGGGGUGCAGGCUAUGGCUGGGGGUGAAGGCUCUGGGGUGGGUCUGCUGAUGAGGGGUUUGGGGUGUAGGAGGAUGCUCUGGGCUGGGAUCAAGGGGUUCAGAGAGCAGGAGGGGGAUCAGGGCUGGGGCAGAGGAUUGGGGUGCAGGGAGAGGCUCAGGGGUGCAGGCUCCGGGCAGCACCUAUCUCUGCAGUUCCUGGCCAAUGGGAGCUGCAGGGGCAGCGUUUGGGGCAGGGGCAGCAUGCAGAGUGGAGGCCCCUGCGCAUAGGAACCGGGGGCUGGGGGGCCAUACAGCUGCUUCCAGGAGCCGCGUGGCAUGGCCCCCGACCCUGCUUCCAAGCUGGAGUGCCGGAGGGGCCCAUGCUGCUGCUUCCAGGACCCUCGUGGAGCAGCCCCCAUCCCUGUGAUGUUAUUGACAUGAACUGUGACCAUAUAGAUCAUUGUAGCAAACAGGAUCCUAUAGUUGCACCAAAUCUUGCACAAAUGAGGUCAAAUAAGGUGUCUAUGGAAAGACUGUAAUUUGCUGGUUAUGAUUAUGCUGUCUGUAUGUGUGUAUCAUUUUUGUAUUUGAAGUUGUGAAUAUUGCUUAUGUACUUGUAUCUCAUUGUGUUUGAUUCUAAAGUAGCAUCAGUGAAGCAUUUGGUCAGCUUCUUGAGAGAGGACUAUUCUGAUCAAGUGCCCAAUCAAGAAACACUUGACUGACAACAUACUUUGGGAGACGCCACAUCCACAUCUGAGCUUUCCUGGGAAUGUUCAAACUAAACAAUGUAAAAUGUAAACAGUGAUGUUGGCCUGCAAAAAGCUGAAUCAUUCAUGGACAUGUGGCUACAAACUCCAUCUUGUUGCUGUGAUUUUGCACAGAAGAACAAAGGGGUUUCCACCCACAAGAGAGACUAUAAAAGGCCCUGGAAGCCUCUCCAUUUUAUCUUCACUUGGCUCAAGAGAUGGCCUCUCCACCCCAAAGAGAUGCUUGAAAGAAACUGGAACAAAGGACAGUAACUACGGGGGUGUGAGUGAUUGCUGGACCCAGGCUAUAAACUACAACGUUGGUCUGAAAAGGAUUGGGCCUAGACUAGGAAGGAGUCUAGUCUGUGAAAGAAGCUUAUUGGGACAUCUUUGAGGGUGAGAUUUACCUGUAUUCAGUCUUCUACUGUAUUAGGCUUAGACUUAUGUGUUUUGUUCUAUUUUACUUGGUAACUUACUUUGUUCUGUCUGUUAUUACUUGGAACAACUUAAAUCCUACUCUUUCUACUUAAUAAAAUCACGUUUGCUUAUUAA